This 167-nucleotide unclassified non-coding RNA is filed under the name soil metagenome. RNAcentral's name for it is "partial contains 5.8S ribosomal RNA, internal transcribed spacer 2, and large subunit ribosomal RNA". The record is from RNAcentral.
AACGGUCUAUACCUGCGGUACCUGCGGAGGGAUCAUUAGUGAACGCCCUCGCGGGCUUAUAACUAUUCCAAACCUCUGUGAACCGUGCCCUUCGGGGCUAUUUUACAAACAUGGUGUAAUGAACGUCAUAUAUCAUAACAAAACAAAACUUUUAGCAAUGGAUCUCU